RNAcentral lists this ribosomal RNA (229 nucleotides) under uncultured bacterium. Its description in RNAcentral is "partial 16S ribosomal RNA". It matches the Rfam family "Bacterial small subunit ribosomal RNA", at positions 568 to 796 of the family's 1533-position model. The record is from RNAcentral.
UGCGUAGGCGGGCUAAUAAGUCAGUGGUGAAAUCUUCCGGCUCAACCGGGAACCUGCCAUUGAUACUGUUAGUCUUGAGUUCGGUUGAGGUAGGCGGAAUGUGUAAUGUAGCGGUGAAAUGCUUAGAUAUUACACAGAACACCAAUUGCGUAGGCAGCUUACUAGACCGACACUGACGCUGAGGCACGAAAGCGCGGGGAGCGAACAGGAUUAGAUACCCUGGUAGUCC